This 464-nucleotide ribosomal RNA is filed under the name uncultured Smithella sp. RNAcentral's name for it is "bacterial SSU rRNA". It matches the Rfam family "Bacterial small subunit ribosomal RNA", at positions 923 to 1382 of the family's 1533-position model. Lineage: Bacteria; Pseudomonadati; Thermodesulfobacteriota; Syntrophia; Syntrophales; Smithellaceae. The record is from RNAcentral.
GCACAAGCGGUGGAGUAUGUGGUUUAAUUCGGCGCAACGCGCAGAACCUUACCUAGACUUGACAUCCCGGGGAUUUUCUGGAAACAGAGAAGUGCUUUAGCAAUAAAGAACCCGGUGACAGGUGCUGCAUGGCUGUCGUCAGCUCGUGUCGUGAGAUGUUGGGUUAAGUCCCGCAACGAGCGCAACCCUCGCCUUUAGUUGCCAGCAUUCAGUUGGGCACUCUAGCGAGACUGCCGGUAAUAAACCGGAGGAAGGUGGGAUGACGUCAAAUCAUCAUGCCCCUUAUGACCUGGGCUACACACGUGCUACAAUGGUUGGUACAACGAGUUGCGAGUCGGUGACGGCGAGCUAAUCUCUUAAAGCCAAUCUCAGUUCGGAUUGUAGGCUGCAACUCGCCUACAUGAAGUCGGAAUCGCUAGUAAUCGCGGAUCAGCACGCCGCGGUCGAAUACGUUCCCGGGCCUU